CCAGACUCCUACGGGAGGCAGCAGUGGGGAAUAUUGCACAAUGGGCGAAAGCCUGAUGCAGCGACGCCGCGUGAAGGAUGAAGUAUUUCGGUAUGUAAACUUCUAUCAGCAGGGAAGAAAAUGACGGUACCUGACUAAGAAGCCCCGGCUAACUACGAGCCAGCAGCCGCGGUAAUACGUAGGGGGCAAGCGUUGUUCGGAAUGACUGGGCGUAAAGGGUGUGUAGGUGGUUUGAUAAGUUAGAUGUGUAAUACCCAGGGCUUAACUCGGGUGCUGCAUCUAAAACUGUUAGACUUGAGUACUGGAGAGGAUAGUGGAAUUCCUAGUGUAGCGGUGGAAUGCGUAGAUAUUAGGAGGAACAUCAGUGGCGAAGGCGACUAUCUGGACAGCAACUGACACUGAGGCACGAAAGCGUGGGGAGCAAACAGGAUUAGAUACCCCUGUA
Molecule: ribosomal RNA, 445 nt
Filed under: uncultured bacterium
Lineage: Bacteria
Description: bacterial SSU rRNA
Rfam family: Bacterial small subunit ribosomal RNA
Source: RNAcentral